RNAcentral lists this small RNA (28 nucleotides) under Bombyx mori (domestic silkworm). RNAcentral's name for it is "ovarian small RNA-29967". The record is from RNAcentral. Lineage: Eukaryota; Metazoa; Arthropoda; Insecta; Lepidoptera; Bombycidae.
UCUGAUUUUUGUAGGCACGGACUAUAAC